AUUGAACGCUGGCGGCAUGCCUUACACAUGCAAGUCGAACGGUAACAGGUCUUCGGAUGCUGACGAGUGGCGAACGGGUGAGUAAUACAUCGGAACGUGCCUAGUAGUGGGGGAUAACUACUCGAAAGAGUGGCUAAUACCGCAUGAGAUCUACGGAUGAAAGCAGGGGAUCGCAAGACCUUGUGCUACUAGAGCGGCCGAUGGCAGAUGAGGUAGUUGGUGUGAUAAAAGCUUACCAAGCCGACGAUCUGUAGCUGGUCUGAGAGGACGAUCAGCCACGCUGGGACUGAGACACGGCCCAGACUCCUACGGGAGGCAGCAGUGGGGAAUUUUGGACAAUGGGCGCAAGCCUGAUCCAGCAAUGCCGCGUGCAGGAUGAAGGCCUUCGGGUUGUAAACUGCUUUUGUACGGAACGAAAAGCCCCGGGUUAAUACCCUGGGGUCAUGACGGUACCGUAAGAAUAAGCACCGGCUAACUACGUGCCAGCAGCCGCCGUAA
Molecule: ribosomal RNA, 498 nt
Filed under: uncultured bacterium
Lineage: Bacteria
Description: partial 16S ribosomal RNA
Rfam family: Bacterial small subunit ribosomal RNA
Source: RNAcentral